Molecule: ribosomal RNA, 539 nt
Filed under: Sphingopyxis sp.
Lineage: Bacteria; Pseudomonadati; Pseudomonadota; Alphaproteobacteria; Sphingomonadales; Sphingopyxidaceae
Description: bacterial SSU rRNA
Rfam family: Bacterial small subunit ribosomal RNA
Source: RNAcentral
AAACUUGAGAGUUUGAUCCUGGCUCAGAACGAACGCUGGCGGCAUGCCUAACACAUGCAAGUCGAACGAACUCUUCGGAGUUAGUGGCGCACGGGUGCGUAACGCGUGGGAAUCUGCCCUUGGGUACGGAAUAACUCAGAGAAAUUUGUGCUAAUACCGUAUAAUGUCUUCGGACCAAAGAUUUAUCGCCCAAGGAUGAGCCCGCGUAAGAUUAGCUAGUUGGUGGGGUAAAGGCCUACCAAGGCUACGAUCUUUAGCUGGUCUGAGAGGAUGAUCAGCCACACUGGGACUGAGACACGGCCCAGACUCCUACGGGAGGCAGCAGUGGGGAAUAUUGGACAAUGGGCGAAAGCCUGAUCCAGCAAUGCCGCGUGAGUGAUGAAGGCCUUAGGGUUGUAAAGCUCUUUUACCCGGGAUGAUAAUGACAGUACCGGGAGAAUAAGCUCCGGCUAACUCCGAGCCAGCAGCCGCGGUAAUACGGAGGGAGCUAGCGUUGUUCGGAAUUACUGGGCGUAAAGCGCGCGUAGGCGGUUUUUUAA